Long non-coding RNA from Mobula hypostoma (lesser devil ray), 1044 nucleotides. RefSeq lists it as uncharacterized. The record is from RefSeq and is a predicted model, not a curated record. The transcript is spliced from 3 exons. Lineage: Eukaryota; Metazoa; Chordata; Chondrichthyes; Myliobatiformes; Myliobatidae.
AAUUUGAGUCGAAUCUCAGCUUUCGGCGCCAUUUUCGACUUGGAGCAAGAAAUAACCUGGCGCGUCAGGAGCAGAGCGCACGUCGGAGAAGGAGCUGCAGGCUGGAGCAGAGAGAUCGGACGCUCAGGGACGGGGAAAGCGAAGUAGUAGGCUUGACAGGGACAGCCAGUUUUAAGUGUAAAAAUGGUCCCAGGAGUGUUGGAAAAUACAACUUCGCCAUCAUAGCUACAUAAUGACAACUGCUACAGGUGUGACGAGAAUACACAUAAAAUUAAGAUGUUUGCUGGCCUGGGUUAGCAUCAGUGACAUCAGCAAGUGGUCUGCCACCUGCCCUCAGGGGAAGGAGAGAUAAGGAACAAUGGAGCAGCGUCUGGAGAUGUGUAAUGAAGGAACAAGGGAGAGAGAGCUGUCUGGAGCGGCUCCCCUCUUUGAACCUUGAACUGUUUGAAGUGAUGGACAGACGAUACCCCAGCAGGGGGUUGAAAAGGGACCGGUUUGCUAAGGCGACACACACGCCACCCGAGGUAACGAGACCCUGGAAGCAGUACGCUUCUCACGAGUCGGUGAGAAGUACCAGACAACGGCCAGGGUGGAAAGGUACAAUCAGUGGGAACCCGGUGUGUGUCCGCCCUUACCUGGGUGCCGGGUUCACUGCAGAGGAUCGACCGCAUCUGGAGGAGGGGUCACAGUCGGUGACCUCAGGUGACAUCACCAAGGACCCGCCCAAAAGUUGCUUGUGAGCCAUCUCGCCGGUCUGUAAGUGAAGCCGUUCUGAAUGAUCAGAUGUUCCUGUUCUCCCUCUCUCUCUUCCCCCACAUUGUCCAUCGCCAUGGCAACGAUUACUGCGAACUGAACUACUAAACUGGACUGAACUUUGAGUCACUUUGAAAUUUGGUCAUUUACCCCUAGACAACGAUAGAGCUUGAUUGAUGCUGUUAUCUUAACUCUGAGCACAUGUGUGUUUAUCAUCGCUGAACUGUUGCAUUUAUUAGCCUUUCGAUUACUGUGUUGCUUGUUUCUUUAAUAAAACUUUCUUAGUUCUAG